This 253-nucleotide ribosomal RNA is filed under the name uncultured bacterium. RNAcentral's name for it is "partial 16S ribosomal RNA". It matches the Rfam family "Bacterial small subunit ribosomal RNA", at positions 524 to 776 of the family's 1533-position model. The record is from RNAcentral.
GACAGAGGGUGCAAACGUUGUUCGGAAUUACUGGGCGUAAAGCGCGUGUAGGCGGCUUUGCAAGUCGGGUGUGAAAUCCCCGGGCUCAACCUGGGAACUGCAUCCGAGACUGCAUUGCUAGAGUAUGGGAGAGGGAAGCGGAAUUUCUGGUGUAGCAGUGAAAUGCGUAGAUAUCAGAAGGAACAUCAGUGGCGAAGGCGGCUUCCUGGACCAAUACUGACGAUCAGGUGCGAAAGCGUGGGGAGCAAACAGG